AAAUAAAAAUCGGGGUUGUUGCUGCCUUCGGUGGUGACGCUUCGGAACUGGGUCGUCUUUGCCUUCGGGUUAAGUGACCUAAAAUUUCGGAUGAUUUUUCGAACGUAUUUAAAUUCUUUUACGUACGUUUGUAUAUCGAAUAUUGGAUGCGGUCAUUCCCAUGAUUCGCGUCUAUAAUUAUUUCAUC
Molecule: unclassified non-coding RNA, 187 nt
Filed under: Dominikia bernensis
Lineage: Eukaryota; Fungi; Glomeromycota; Glomeromycetes; Glomerales; Glomeraceae
Description: partial internal transcribed spacer 2
Source: RNAcentral